GAUGAACGCUGGCGGCGUGCCUAUACAUGCAAGUCGAGCGAACAGACGAGGAGCUUGCUCCUCUGACGUUAGCGGCGGACGGGUGAGUAACACGUGGAUAACCUACCUAUAAGACUGGGAUAACUUCGGGAAACCGGAGCUAAUACCGGAUAAUAUAUUGAACCGCAUGGUUCAAUAGUGAAAGACGGUUUUGCUGUCACUUAUAGAUGGAUCCGCGCCGCAUUAGCUAGUUGGUAAGGUAACGGCUUACCAAGGCAACGAUGCGUAGCCGACCUGAGAGGGUGAUCGGCCACACUGGAACUGAGACACGGUCCAGACUCCUACGGGAGGCAGCAGUAGGGAAUCUUCCGCAAUGGGCGAAAGCCUGACGGAGCAACGCCGCGUGAGUGAUGAAGGUCCUCGGAUCGUAAAACUCUGUUAUUAGGGAAGUACAAAUGUGUAAGUAACUAUGCACGUCUUGACGGUACCUAAUCAGAAAGCCACGGCUAACUACGUG
RNAcentral lists this ribosomal RNA (496 nucleotides) under uncultured bacterium. RNAcentral describes it as "partial 16S ribosomal RNA". It matches the Rfam family "Bacterial small subunit ribosomal RNA", at positions 28 to 507 of the family's 1533-position model. The record is from RNAcentral.